GAUGAACGCUGGCGGCGUGCCUAAUACAUGCAAGUCGAGCGAACGGACGAGAAGCUUGCUUCUCUGAUGUUAGCGGCGGACGGGUAAGUAACACGUGGAUAACCUACCUAUAAGACUGGGAUAACUUCGGGAAACCGGAGCUAAUACCGGAUAAUUUUUUGAACCGCAUGGUUCAAAAGUGAAAGACGGUCUUGCUGUCACUUAUAGAUGGAUCCGCGCUGCAUUAGCUAGUUGGUAAGGUAACGGCUUACCAAGGCAACGAUGCAUAGCCGACCUGAGAGGGUGAUCGGCCACACUGGAACUGAGACACGGUCCAGACUCCUACGGGAGGCAGCAGUAGGGAAUCUUCCGCAAUGGGCGAAAGCCUGACGGAGCAACGCCGCGUGAGUGAUGAAGGUCUUCGGAUCGUAAAACUCUGUUAUUAGGGAAGAACAUAUGUGUAAGUAACUGUGCACAUCUUGACGGUACCUAAUCAGAAAGCCACGGCUAACUACGUG
RNAcentral lists this ribosomal RNA (497 nucleotides) under uncultured bacterium. RNAcentral describes it as "partial 16S ribosomal RNA". It matches the Rfam family "Bacterial small subunit ribosomal RNA", at positions 28 to 507 of the family's 1533-position model. The record is from RNAcentral.